RNAcentral lists this ribosomal RNA (342 nucleotides) under Boophis obscurus. RNAcentral's name for it is "partial 16S ribosomal RNA". It matches the Rfam family "Bacterial large subunit ribosomal RNA", at positions 2089 to 2597 of the family's 2925-position model. Lineage: Eukaryota; Metazoa; Chordata; Amphibia; Anura; Mantellidae. The record is from RNAcentral.
CCCCAUGGAGCUUUAAACCCGACAGCACCCGCUUAUUUUAAGCCCAAUUAUACGCCCGUACCUGUCUGCUCGGUUUUAGGUUGGGGUGACCACGGAGUAUAAAGUAACCUCCAUGAANAAAGGGGUAAGUACCCUUAUUAGAGAAAAACACUUCCAAAAACUAACAAAUUAAUUUUUAAUGAUCCGAUAUUCGAUCAACGAACCAAGUUACCCUGGGGAUAACAGCGCAAUCCACCUCGAGAGCUCCUAUCGACAGGNGGGUUUACNACCUCGAUGUUGGAUCAGGGUAUCCCAGUGGUGCAGCAGCUACCAAAGGUUCGUUUGUUCAACGAUUAAAACCCU